This 271-nucleotide ribosomal RNA is filed under the name uncultured bacterium. Its description in RNAcentral is "partial 16S ribosomal RNA". It matches the Rfam family "Bacterial small subunit ribosomal RNA", at positions 72 to 354 of the family's 1533-position model. The record is from RNAcentral.
CGUAUACUUACGUUGGCGAGACGGGUGAGUAACGCGUGGGUAACCUGCCUUGCACUGGGGGAUAACACUUAGAAAUAGGUGCUAAUACCGCAUAACAGUAGGAGACGCAUGUCUUUUACUUGAAAACUCCGGUGGUGUAAGAUGGACCCGCGUCUGAUUAGCUUGUUGGCGGGGUAACGGCCCACCAAGGCAACGAUCAGUAGCCGGCCUGAGAGGGUGAACGGCCACAUUGGGACUGAGACACGGCCCAAACUCCUACGGAAGGCAGCAG